GAUGGCUUUGUCGUUACACGCUCAGGUGAUCACAGAGUUCUGCAGGACUAUAGGUGCUGAUGGUAAACAGAGGCAGGGUUUGAUCCGAUUGGCCAAAAAGAACGGGGAGAAGCUUGGAUUCCUGGCAUGAGAGGUCAUUCGAUGCUUGUGGAAGAGGAUAUCCCUCAUGAAUGAGAAUGUAAGAAAGUCGUAGCACCUGUGUAUCUUUAUGCAUCAUAAGGUUGAUUUGCUUCCUUCUCGGGGUGAUCUGGCAUCUUGUUCUAUGUGGCUGCUUUUUCUCUUACAUGGUAAAGAGAUUUUUGGUUAACUGAUUUGAUAGUAAAAGUUAUUUGAUAGAAUUUUAUAGUAAAAGUUAUUUUGGUUUAGCUGAUUUUUCUUUUGUUGUGAUUGUGGUUUCAAUAAAAUGCUACAGAUUAUACGAAGUCCUGUCUAAAUAAACUAUGAUGCUUCUUUUCGGAUAGAGAAGCAUUUAUGUUUCGAUGUAAUGACUAUAGCAUAAAAUAACAAAUAUCAUUUAUCUUAGCAUUCUUUAAGACUCCCAUUACAUAAGGUCAUGGAUGGUGCUUCACUCGCCCUUUGUAUUGUCAUAUAAUCAAAAUCAAUUUAUUUUGGUAUUUUAUAGUGAGCUACGGUGCAUUGCAAAACAUAAGUUAGUCAUCAUAAGAGUAUCUUGAAAGUUUGAGCCAUACAUGACUAAUCAAUUCACUUAUGAGAUAGAUUUGUCAAUAUAAAAUAUAGAAUUAGGAAAGAACUUCCUCCAACAAACAUAAUUAAUUACACUCCUCGAGUAACACAACUAAGAAAUUGAGUCUUUAUCCCUCCAACCCAGUUUUCAUGGAAGAUAGAUAUAACUCUUCAGUGCCAUUGAUGAGCUCAUAGAGCUACAGGGACACUCUCUUGGCUUCUCAAAGGGCAUCAAGUGUGAGAAGAUAAAAGGGGAAAUAGUUGACAUCCAUCUCAUAAACGUCCAAGAUACUGUGUGAAAAAUACAGCACUGAGAGGAUGCAUUCUAACCUAUUCGUAGAAACUGUUUGCCAAACUUGUGGGUAAGGAUGGAAAGCUGUCAUGAGAUGUCUGAAGUAGGUAGACCUCGAGCUACUACUCCACACAACAAGAGAUGGUCAUGGAGGAAACCAUCAUCAAAGUUCUGAGAGUAACUCCGUGGAUCAUAAGCAAAACUUGUCGACUUGUGCCACAAUGGCGUUGUCAUGCCCCUCAACUCCGACCUCAACUUCCAAAACACUUGCUUCAUCGACCUCCAACACUCCAUGGACACCCUCAACUUGAAUCUUAAGCAAAUUCCUCACCUUACUCCUUC
This 1318-nucleotide long non-coding RNA is filed under the name Musa acuminata (dwarf banana). RNAcentral describes it as "long non-coding RNA (MACU_LNC003679)". Lineage: Eukaryota; Viridiplantae; Streptophyta; Magnoliopsida; Zingiberales; Musaceae. The record is from RNAcentral.